Long non-coding RNA from Homo sapiens (human), 474 nucleotides. Lineage: Eukaryota; Metazoa; Chordata; Mammalia; Primates; Hominidae. The record is from Ensembl.
UUUUUUUUUUUUUUUUUUUUUUUUUUUUGCAUUUUAAGUAAUGAAAACAGGUCAUGUUAAUUUUCCCUUACACUAAUGAGGUAGGAAUUUCUCUGUAAAAGUUGACCUUUUGAGCAAACUUAUCUUAUGAAGAGGGCUCUGGUGUUUACGCAGCCAGCUUGCCUGAAGGGACCUUUAAACCAUCCAGAAGGGAGAGUAUUUACUAGGGUUUUAUUAAGACUCUAAUGGUUAUAAAUGAAAUAUCUUAAGAUUUUUCACUUCUGGGACUGUUAAGCCAUCUGGAAUAGCUAUUUUGGAGAAAAAUCUUCAACCAAAAUAAAACUGUAAAAAAAAAAAAAUAGGCCUUUAUACAAGCUGUAGCCAGAAAUCUGGGAUAAUUUUUACAAGCACUUUAGUAAUGUUAUAAUUGAGACCUAAGUUUUGAUAGAGCCAAAAUUUUUUAGAUCUAUUAAAUACAUUUUAACUCCAUUAUAA